Molecule: ribosomal RNA, 253 nt
Filed under: uncultured bacterium
Lineage: Bacteria
Description: partial 16S ribosomal RNA
Rfam family: Bacterial small subunit ribosomal RNA
Source: RNAcentral
UACGUAGGGAGCAAGCGUUGUCCGGAAUCAUUGGGCGUAAAGCGCGCGUAGGUGGCCUCAUAAGUCCGUUGUGAAAGUCAAAGGCUCAACCUUUGAAAGCCGAUGGAUACUGUGAGACUAGAGUACGGAAGAGGCGAGUGGAAUUCCUGGUGUAGCGGUGGAAUGCGCAGAUAUCAGGAGGAACACCAAUAGCGAAGGCAGCGCGCUGGGACGUUACUGACACUGAGGCGCGAAAGCGUGGGGAGCGAACAGG